Molecule: ribosomal RNA, 491 nt
Filed under: uncultured bacterium
Lineage: Bacteria
Description: partial 16S ribosomal RNA
Rfam family: Bacterial small subunit ribosomal RNA
Source: RNAcentral
GAUGAACGCUGGCUACAGGCUUAACACAUGCAAGUCGAGGGGAAACGACGGGGAAGCUUGCUUCCCCGGGCGUCGACCGGCGCACGGGUGAGUAACGCGUAUCCAACCUGCCUCUGACUGAGGGAUAACCCGUCGAAAGUCGGCCUAAUACCUCAUGGCAUCGUCUGCGGGCAUCCAACGACGAUUAAAGAUUUCAUCGGUCAGGGAUGGGGAUGCGUCUGAUUAGCUAGUUGGCGGGGUAACGGCCCACCAAGGCGACGAUCAGUAGGGGUUCUGAGAGGAAGGUCCCCCACAUUGGAACUGAGACACGGUCCAAACUCCUACGGGAGGCAGCAGUGAGGAGUAUUGGUCAAUGGGCGAGAGCCUGAACCAGCCAAGUAGCGUGCAGGAUGACGGCCCUAUGGGUUGUAAACUGCUUUUAUGCGGGGAUAAAGUGAGGGACGUGUCCUUCAUUGCAGGUACCGCAUGAAUAAGGACCGGCUAAUUCCGUG